UUAGAAGUCUGGCCGCCGCCCGUUGGACUAGUUGAAGCUUCUGGGCCAUCUUCAAAGGCAACAGGGAGCAUAUUACUCCUCUGUUGUGUCAGCUCCACUGACUGCCAACAUGCUACUGAGCCCAAUUUAAAGUGUUGGUCUUGACCUAUAAAACCCUAAAUGGUUCUGGUCCAAUGUAUCUGUCUGAACGCAUCUCCUCUUAUGAGCCUAUUAAACAGUUCAGGACCUGCUUAUCUCCAUGAUCGCUUCCUCCCCUAUGAACCCAUACGGGCCUCUCACCUCUGUCCCAAGCUUGGCUGGUGGGGACAAGGGAGAGGGCCUCCUUGGUGGUGGCCCCUUGACUCUGGACACUCUGCCCAGGGAGAUCAGACUGGCACCUUCCGUAAGGAUUUAAAAACGUGGAUGUUGCGGUGAGCAUUUGAGUGAGUAGUCACUCAGUUGGCAGCUUGUUUACUAUUCUUCAUUGCACUUUAUCUUCACUCCUUACUUUUUACUUUUUAGAUUUCCAGUGUCUUGAUGAGACUGUUCUUCUUACCAUUAUCCUUGAACAUCCCUGUACUUCCCACGAACCCUGCUUAGAGUCCUGCACUAGUCACCCUCUGCUUAUGCUGUACUUGAGGCCAGGUUUUAAAGGUGGGAUCCAGACUGGACUUGUGAGGCCUUCCCAUCCAGUUCUAUGCUGCCUUUUUCUCUGCCCUACCUGUCAUAUCUUUGGGAUUUUUUUAAAAAAAAAUGUUGUUGUUUCCUCAGGGAUUAUUUUCUGAAAUUGCAGCUGAGAUUAGAAAUAUUAAUUUGUCCCACAUAUUGCAACUUAUGUACAGUUGAGUCUUUACUGGGGUUUGGGUCAAGGACCUCCCAUGGAAACAAAAAUAUCUGGAUGUGCAAGUCCCAUGUAUACAUUGGAAUAGUAAAAUGAUGUUCCCUUAUAGAAACUGGUGAAAAACUCACAUGAGUGGCACUGAGAGUAUGAGGAUCUGUGAAAUGGUGACAGGCAGCAACAGGAUAUGACAAUACAUAAGAGUAGUGUUCAGGAUGCGGCAAAAUCAAGACCUGUUUUGGGAGUAUUUUUUUACAAAUAGGUUGGGCCAUGGUAGGUUGAGUCCGUGGAUUUAAAGAACUGAUUGUAUCUCAAAAGGACUUAAGAGAGAAAAGGAGAGAAAGUAGGAGGGAGAGGAAAAGUGUGAGAGAGAGUGAGAAAGAAAGCAGAAAAGAUUAAGAGGAACAGAAUGAGGAAGCUGGGGCAUUCCUCAUUUCCUCCUCAGGAUCGAACUCAGGAGAGCUGAUAGAUUUACCCAGAGGAAAUCCAGAUGGAGUAAGGGGAAAUAAUGGUUUUAAUGUGAAGAUAACUGAUUUUAGUCUUUAUGUAUACAGUAUUUAUAGUUUACUUUAUGCUCCGGCAUUGAAUGUUUACCAUAUAUAUGUUGUGCUCUGCCCUGAGUCCCCUUCGGGGCGAGAAGGGUGGAAUAUAAAUGUUUUAAAUAAAUAAAUAAACAAACUAUGUACUUUGA
Anolis carolinensis (green anole) is the source of this 1508-nucleotide long non-coding RNA. RefSeq lists it as uncharacterized. NCBI's taxonomy places the organism in Eukaryota, Metazoa, Chordata, Lepidosauria, Squamata, Anolidae. The transcript is spliced from 2 exons. The record is from RefSeq and is a predicted model, not a curated record.